UGUGAUAGUGUAUGUGAUUGUGUGAUAUGCCAUAAAAAUCUUACCACAUACCUUGAGUGUUCAAAUUUGAUACAAAGAAACACUGCACAUAAAACAGGGGGAGCACAUCUUGUGAUAACUAAUAGAAAUGACCUGGACAGGGGGAGCACAACUUGAAUAUCCUUGAGUAAAAUGAAUGCUGAAUUCCACUAUAAAUUGAGCUUUAAGGAUAAUUUGUCCCCUUCAUGUUGAUGACAAAAAGGGGGAGUAGAUAUGUAUAUGGAAUGCAAAAUUUUUAAUCAUACUCCAAAGUUGAUUUUAAGAUAAUUGCCCUUCUGGAAAAGAAAGGAGGAGUCAAAAAAGAAUCUAGCUUUCAAUUAUCUUCAGCAUCAAUAUUUCAUUUUAACUUGAUUCAAAUUCAGUUCAUAUGCCAAAAUCAUUUAAGAACUAUAAAGAUCAAUUUUAUGCACAAGGAAAGAACUGAAAAUUGAAUAUUUUGAGUGAUGCACGUUGUAUCUAGUUCUAAUCAAAACAUUACACUUGUACAUCCGAUCAAAUACUGUGUAUAUGUUUAAAUUUCAAAUUUUGCAUAUACUCAGUGUUUUGUCAUCAUCAAAAAGGGGGAGAUUGUUGACCCCCUAAUGGAUUUUGAUGAAUACAAAACACUAGAGCAUAAUUCCAUUAUAUCUUAA
Molecule: long non-coding RNA, 671 nt
Filed under: Phoenix dactylifera (date palm)
Lineage: Eukaryota; Viridiplantae; Streptophyta; Magnoliopsida; Arecales; Arecaceae
Description: long non-coding RNA (PDAC_LNC007276)
Source: RNAcentral